Molecule: long non-coding RNA, 746 nt
Filed under: Zea mays
Lineage: Eukaryota; Viridiplantae; Streptophyta; Magnoliopsida; Poales; Poaceae
Description: long non-coding RNA (ZMAY_LNC001412)
Source: RNAcentral
UUGGUCUUAUAUGGUUUCUCAUAACUUAUCUAUGGUAUAAUAGUUUAUUGGACCCAUUAGGCGAGAAAAGGAAAGAGGGAAACAAACAUAUACCUUCGCACUUCAUAUAUGACUCAAGAAUUUUGAAACUGUUGCAUUAUAAUAGUAGAGAUACAGAUGUUCCGCACCCACUCGUCAAUGCGCAGUCUGGGUCGUUGUUUCCCGUAUCUAUCUAUUGACAAAACUACAAAGACAAAUACCUGUAGCUGUAGCUGCUACUCUACUCAAGUGGGCAGCAAAUGAAAUGUAAACCCUCGUACCUGACGCGCGCGGCGCUAUAGAUACGGGCGGCGCACACUUCGUCCUUGUUUCUUCUUUCUCAGGUCGUCUUCUUCGUCAGGAUGUCCCCAGCCGGCCGGGCAGCCCCGCCCACGCUGCCCUCGAUGAUGUGUGCGCUGCUUCAGUUAGCAGGACACACACGCCCGAUCGAUUAGGAAUCUGCCCACACAAACACACACAUUUUCUCUUUGGUUCUCCAGGCGCACGCCGGUGCCAUGCCUACCUUCUUUCUCUCUCACCUCAUUGUGCCAGUGGCGUUGCAGCGGUGAGCGAGAACACCGCGAGCACGGGCACGGCUCAGAACCACAGAAGAGCGUGAGCGCGUCAAGCGGCUGCCCGUGCCCGGUACACGCAUUAUUGCCGGUACUUGCCUCGUUUAUUUAUGGCAACCGGCACUCAUCUAUAUAAGGUUUUUGCCACAAUGCUUA